UGGGGAAUAUUGGACAAUGGGCGAAAGCCUGAUCCAGCAAUGCCGCGUGAAUGAUGAAGGCCUUAGGGUUGUAAAGUUCUUUUAGUGGGAAAGAUAAUGACGGUACCCACAGAAAAAGCUCCGACUAACUUCGUGCCAGCAGUCGCGGUAAUACGAAGGGAGCUAGCGUUUUUCGGAAUCAUUGGGCGUAAAGCGCGUGUAGGCGGUUAUUUAAGUUAAAAGUGAAAUCCCAAAGCUCAACUUUGGAAUUGCUUUUAAAACUGAAUAGCUAGAGUUCAGCAGGGGAUGAUGGAAUUCCUGGUGUAGAGGUGAAAUUCUUAGAUAUCAGGAGGAACACCGGCGGCGAAGGCGGUCAUCUGGGCUGUAUCUGACGCUAAGGCGCGAAAGCGUGGGGAGCAAACAGG
Molecule: ribosomal RNA, 404 nt
Filed under: uncultured bacterium
Lineage: Bacteria
Description: bacterial SSU rRNA
Rfam family: Bacterial small subunit ribosomal RNA
Source: RNAcentral